GUUGCUAUGGGCAACUGGUGAACUUUUCCUCAGCACAGGUCCUGUCGAAUCUCCCCCUAUGGGACCUUCCACACAGUGAGGAGCCGCUCCUUACACACGAGGUCUAGCUUCCCCAGAAAGAGUGAACACCAGCGACAACUGAAAGAAAACCGCACUGCCCUCCGCCUUUCACACGACGGACCUGCGGUUUAUUCCCGCUGCAUCCCUGUAGGGACAGAUAAAGCCAGGACCGUCCAGGCACCAGACUACUGUUGUCAUAAGAGCUAUUCAGCCAACCUCUGACUGAGGCAGGACACCCCUGCGGGAAACUUCCUGUAGGGAGGAUGUGUUACAGGAACAAAGAAGAAGUAGUGACAAGUGGGGACUGGGAGAGAGUUUCAAAGUUCGAAAAAUGCAAAAUUUUCACAUUUUACAUGGAAUUUGAGAAUUUUUCACCAAGAAAUGAUCAUGACUCGGGAAAUCUGACAAAAGCAUCCCAGUUCAACUGCAUUUGGUACAUUGCUUAUUCUUCUAUUCCCAGGAUAUAGCCCACUCUGCACCAUCCGUGCUUUCUGCACACACUGUCCAGGAGUACUGUAUGUGCACACAUCCACAGGACCAUUUUCUACUAUGUUUAUCCAUCAGUGUCUUCGUGGAUUUUUUUUUUUUUUUUACAAUGCUUGUGUCCCCCUUUUGCUUGCCCCCUAUUUAUUAAUUUGUACCAAAACGAUUUGUGGUCACCAUACAUCUAAUUUUUUUUAUACUCUAUGACGCUGCUGGUUGAUAUAUUUUGUUAAUUCCUGUAAAUAUGAAUUUUCCAAACCAAAUUUAUUUAAAUGCCGGUGCCGUCCCUGUGCGCAUGCGAUGGUCUUCCGGGCUCGCGUCUUACACUGCCCGUUAUGUAACUUGUCAUGUGACGGAGUCAGCUGACGCGGCGCCUGGAAGUACGCGCGGUGGCUCGUGCGCUAUGCACCGCUAUAGAGACAGGUUUCUUUCCGGCUCCACACAGGUACAUAAUAUUUACUUGAUUGUUCUGGUUCCUGAUUGGCCAAGUUCCAUUUAAAUAGCAUUCGCACUGAGAGGACGCCACCCCCAGGACAAAGGAUAUCGCCGAAACGUACGUUGGGGUGGCGUCACUCCUGCUGCACUCCUGCACUUUUCAUUGUAUUAGGUUGGUACUGUAUGCUUUUCUAUGCACUUAAAGACUGAUGUCUAUUUACUGAGAUGCAUUGCAUACCUGUUGUCCUUUUUGCACCUUAUAAUUACCAUAUUUAUCAGGGUAUACCACGCACUGGCCUAUAACACGCACCC
This is a long non-coding RNA of Hyla sarda, 1290 nucleotides long. RefSeq lists it as uncharacterized. The transcript is spliced from 6 exons. NCBI's taxonomy places the organism in Eukaryota, Metazoa, Chordata, Amphibia, Anura, Hylidae. The record is from RefSeq and is a predicted model, not a curated record.